This 488-nucleotide ribosomal RNA is filed under the name Klebsiella pneumoniae. RNAcentral describes it as "bacterial SSU rRNA". It matches the Rfam family "Bacterial small subunit ribosomal RNA", at positions 65 to 531 of the family's 1533-position model. Lineage: Bacteria; Pseudomonadati; Pseudomonadota; Gammaproteobacteria; Enterobacterales; Enterobacteriaceae. The record is from RNAcentral.
AGCGGUAGCACAGAGAGCUUGCUCUCGGGUGACGAGCGGCGGACGGGUGAGUAAUGUCUGGGAAACUGCCUGAUGGAGGGGGAUAACUACUGGAAACGGUAGCUAAUACCGCAUAACGUCGCCACAAGACCGCGAAAGUGGGGGACCUUCGGGCCUCAUAGCCAUCAGAUGUGCCCAGAUGUGGGAUUAGCUAGUAGGUGGGGUAACGGCUCACCUAGGCGACGAUCCCUAGCUGGUCUGAGAGGAUGACCAGCCACACUGGAACUGAGACACGGUCCAGACUCCUACGGGAGGCAGCAGUGGGGAAUAUUGCACAAUGGGCGCAAGCCUGAUGCAGCCAUGCCGCGUGUGUGAAGAAGGCCUUCGGGUUGUGCAAAGCACUUUCAGACGGGGAGGAAGGCGAUAAGGUUAAUAACCUCGUCGAUUGACGUUACCCGCAGAAGAAGCACCGGCUAACUCCGUGCCAGCAGCCGCUGGUAAUACUUGGA